RNAcentral lists this long non-coding RNA (1325 nucleotides) under Homo sapiens (human). RNAcentral describes it as "LHRI_LNC1286.14". Lineage: Eukaryota; Metazoa; Chordata; Mammalia; Primates; Hominidae. The record is from RNAcentral.
GCAUUCUGGCGGUGCCGGGAGCGGGGCGAGGAGGAGGGUGGGUAUGAGGCGGUAGCGGACCGCGGAGUCGAGACCUACCCGAACGACGCGGGCGAGCGGGGCUUUGGACGCCGGUGGAGACGCAGGCGAGACUCCAGCGGGAGGAAGAAGAGGCCUUUGCCAGCAGUCAGAGCAGCCAAGGGGCCCAAUCCCUCACAUUCUCCAAGUUUGAAGGAAAGAAAACCAACAAGAAGACCCGCAAGGUUACCACAGUGAAGAAAUCUUCAGUACGUCUUCCAGGGUCGGAUCAAAGAUAUUGAAAUGGAUUCCAGGCGUGUGCCUCGAGACAAGCUGGCCUGCAUCACCAAGUGCAGCAAGCACAUCUUCGAUGCCAUCAAGAUCACCUAGAACGAGCUGGCGUCAGCAGAUGACUUCCUCCCCACCCUCAUCUACAUUGUUUUGAAGGGCAACCCCCAUGCCUUCAGUCUAAUAUCCAGUAUAUCACGUGCUUCUGCAAUCCAAGCCGACUGAUGACUGGAGAGGAUGGCUACUAUUUCACCAAUCUGGUGAGUAAGUGAGUUCUUGGCGUUGUGGAGAAGGACUAGGAAGGUGGUGGUUUUGGGGAUGUGAUAGGUCACUCAGGCCCAUGACAGGUGAAUGCUUCUGUGUGAGAAGGCAGCACGGCUGAGGAAGCUCACUUUGCAUCAGGGAGCACAAGGACCAGGCCGUACAGACACUCCGCCUCCCCGCACUUGAUCAGAGAUUGUGUUUAUCCUACAGAAACAGAUGACAUGUGUUGGGCAUCACUCCCCACGGUCCUGGGUAGAAGAGUCCUUCACUUGGCAGGGCUUUUUCAACCAAUGAAUAAGGCAAAUUAUAUAUAAGUUAAUAAUGCCAUUUCGAACCGAGACAGAUGGCAGCUAAAUGAAGUUUAAUUAAAGAAUGAGCGCUGGGGCCCUUUUUAUUGGGUACUGCAUCUACUUCGACCACAAAAGACGAAGUGACCCCAACUUCAAGAACAGGCUUUGAGAUGGAAGAAAGAAACAGAAGCUUGCCAAGGAGAGAGCUGGGCUUUCCAAGUUACCUGACCUUAAAGAUGCUGAAGCUGUUCAGAAGUUCUUCCUUGAAGAAAUACAGCUUGGUGAAGAGUUACUAGCUCAAGGUGAAUAUGAGAAGGGCGUAGACCAUCUGACAAACGGAAUUGCUGUGUGUGGACAGCCACAGCAGUUACUGCAGGCCUUACAGCAAACUCUUCCACCACUAGUGUUCCAGAUGCUUUUGACUAAGCUCCCAACAAUUAGAGAAUUCUAAGUGCUCAGAGCUUGGCUGAAGAUGAUGUGGAAUGA